Molecule: long non-coding RNA, 496 nt
Organism: Macrobrachium nipponense
Lineage: Eukaryota; Metazoa; Arthropoda; Malacostraca; Decapoda; Palaemonidae
Exons: 4
Source: RefSeq, a predicted model, not a curated record
GUUGGGCUGUUGGGAAGAUGGAUACCACAAUGAAUAUUGAAGAUUGUGACCCUGACUUAACGGCAAGAAACUUUUGUCGAGUGGAGGUUUCUGCAUUGGAGAGGGAUGUGGUUGGAGAGCUCGUCUUGGGUGAAGACUGGACUUGGACUUGGGUAACCAUGCUUGCGCAUCCGUCUUCAAGCCACACAGAGGUAGUGCCCCAUUCCCCCUACCGUCGUUGGUGUCUUAAUUGAUGCAAGCCUGCAUCCCAUCUGUUGCAAGUUGGACACUUGGAUGACAUUCAAGUCAGCUGCUUCGAAUCACCAUAAGCGCCGUAUGGACUCGUGUGAAUGUUUACAGCAGUUGAAGACCGUCCCUAGUGUAACACUGAAACUAGUCUCGUCGCCACAAACAUACACCAGUUUACAGCAGGAGCCGAACUACGUUUCCACGUCAGUUAUCCGGAAAACUUCUGUGAGAUCAACUACUCCCGAGAUAUGUAUACAAAUUAAGUAAU